RNAcentral lists this ribosomal RNA (615 nucleotides) under Babesia gibsoni. Its description in RNAcentral is "SSU rRNA". It matches the Rfam family "Eukaryotic small subunit ribosomal RNA", at positions 445 to 1120 of the family's 1831-position model. The record is from RNAcentral. Lineage: Eukaryota; Apicomplexa; Aconoidasida; Piroplasmida; Babesiidae.
CCAAUCCUGACACAGGGAGGUAGUGACAAGAAAUAACAAAAGGGCAUUGUCUUGUAAUUGGAAUGAUGGUGACGUAAAAUCUCACCAGAGUAACAAUUGGAGGGCAAGUCUGGUGCCAGCAGCCGCGGUAAUUCCAGCUCCAAUAGCGUAUAUUAAACUUGUUGCAGUUAAAAAGCUCGUAGUUGAAUUUCUGCGUUGCCCGACUCGGCUACUUGCCUUGUCUGGUUUCGCUUUUGGGGUUUUCCCCUUUUUACUUUGAGAAAAUUAGAGUGUUUCAAGCAGACUUGUGUCUUGAAUACUUCAGCAUGGAAUAAUAAAGUAGGACUUUGGUUCUAUUUUGUUGGUUUGUGAACCUUAGUAAUGGUUAAUAGGAACGGUUGGGGGCAUUCGUAUUUAACUGUCAGAGGUGAAAUUCUUAGAUUUGUUAAAGACGAACUACUGCGAAAGCAUUUGCCAAGGACGUUUUCAUUAAUCAAGAACGAAAGUUAGGGGAUCGAAGACGAUCAGAUACCGUCGUAGUCCUAACCAUAAACCAUGCCGACUAGGGAUUGGAGGUCGUCAUUUUUCGACUCCUUCAGCACCUUGAGAGAAAUCAAAGUCUUUGGGUUCUGGGGG